RNAcentral lists this ribosomal RNA (486 nucleotides) under uncultured bacterium. Its description in RNAcentral is "partial 16S ribosomal RNA". It matches the Rfam family "Bacterial small subunit ribosomal RNA", at positions 30 to 507 of the family's 1533-position model. The record is from RNAcentral.
AUUGAACGCUGGCGGCAUGCCUUACACAUGCAAGUCGAACGGCAGCACGGGUGCUUGCACCUGGUGGCGAGUGGCGAACGGGUGAGUAAUACAUCGGAACAUGUCCUGUAGUGGGGGAUAGCCCGGCGAAAGCCGGAUUAAUACCGCAUACGAUCUACUGAUGAAAGCGGGGGACCUUCGGGCCUCGCGCUAUAGGGUUGGCCGAUGGCUGAUUAGCUAGUUGGUGGGGUAAAGGCCUACCAAGGCGACGAUCAGGAGCUGGUCUGAGAGGAUGACCAGCCACACUGGAACUGAGACACGGCCCAGACUCCUACGGGAGGCAGCAGUGGGGAAUUUUGGACAAUGGGCGAAAGCCUGAUCCAGCAAUGCCGCGUGUGUGAAGAAGGCCUUCGGGUUGUAAAGCACUUUUGUCCGGAAAGAAAUCCUUGGCUCUAAUACAGUCGGGGGAUGACGGUACCGGAAGAAUAAGCACCGGCUAACUACGUG